RNAcentral lists this ribosomal RNA (305 nucleotides) under uncultured bacterium. RNAcentral's name for it is "bacterial SSU rRNA". It matches the Rfam family "Bacterial small subunit ribosomal RNA", at positions 335 to 657 of the family's 1533-position model. The record is from RNAcentral.
UACCUACGGGAGGCAGCAGUCGGAAAUAUUGCGCAAUGGAGGAAACUCUGACGCAGUGACGCCGCGUGCAGGAAGAAGGUUUUCGGAUUGUAAACUGCUUUAGACAGGGAAGAUACAAGACAGUACCUGUAAAAUAAGCUCCGGCUAACUACGUGCCAGCAGCCGCGGUAAUACGUAGGGAGCAAGCGUUAUCCGGAUUUAUUGGGUGUAAAGGGUGCGUAGACGGGAAGGCAAGUUGGUUGUGAAAUCCCUCGGCUUAACUGAGGAACUGCAACCAAAACUAUUUUUCUUGAGUGCUGGAGAGG